RNAcentral lists this transfer RNA (64 nucleotides) under Eoneureclipsis hainanensis. RNAcentral's name for it is "tRNA-Asn". Lineage: Eukaryota; Metazoa; Arthropoda; Insecta; Trichoptera; Psychomyiidae. The record is from RNAcentral.
UUAAUUGAAACCAAAAAGAGGUCUAUCACUGUUAAUGAUAAAAAUGAACAAUAUUCCAAUUAAG